GAUGAACGCUGGCGGCGUGCCUAACACAUGCAAGUCGAGCGAUUCUCUUCGAAGAAGAGCGGCGGACGGGUGAGUAACGCGUGGGUAACCUGCCCUAUACACACGGAUAACGUACCGAAAGGUACGCUAAUACGAGAUAACAUAAGAAAUUCGCAUGGAUUUUUUAUCAAAGCUCUGGCGGUAUAGGAUGGACCCGCGUCUGAUUAGCUAGUUGGUAAGGUAAUGGCUUACCAAGGCGACGAUCAGUAGCCGACCUGAGAGGGUGAUCGGCCACAUUGGAACUGAGACACGGUCCAAACUCCUACGGGAGGCAGCAGUGGGGAAUAUUGCACAAGGGGCGAAAGCCUGAUGCAGCAACGCCGCGUGAGCGAUGAAGGCCUUCGGGUCGUAAAGCUCUGUCCUCAAGGAAGAUAAUGACGGUACUUGAGGAGGAAGCCCCGGCUAACUACGUGCCAGCAGCCGCCGUAA
RNAcentral lists this ribosomal RNA (468 nucleotides) under uncultured bacterium. RNAcentral describes it as "partial 16S ribosomal RNA". It matches the Rfam family "Bacterial small subunit ribosomal RNA", at positions 28 to 523 of the family's 1533-position model. The record is from RNAcentral.